Molecule: ribosomal RNA, 253 nt
Filed under: Niveispirillum sp.
Lineage: Bacteria; Pseudomonadati; Pseudomonadota; Alphaproteobacteria; Rhodospirillales; Azospirillaceae
Also listed under: 2 other names
Description: partial 16S ribosomal RNA
Rfam family: Bacterial small subunit ribosomal RNA
Source: RNAcentral
UACGAAGGGGGCUAGCGUUGUUCGGAAUUACUGGGCGUAAAGGGCGCGUAGGCGGCUUAUCAAGUCAGGCGUGAAAGCCCCGGGCUUAACCUGGGAACUGCGCUUGAGACUGGUAGGCUAGAGUACCGGAGAGGUAGGUGGAAUUCCCAGUGUAGAGGUGAAAUUCGUAGAUAUUGGGAAGAACACCAGUGGCGAAGGCGGCCUACUGGACGGUAACUGACGCUGAGGCGCGAAAGCGUGGGGAGCAAACAGG